This 438-nucleotide ribosomal RNA is filed under the name Oxyrrhis marina. Its description in RNAcentral is "partial Eukaryotic small subunit ribosomal RNA". It matches the Rfam family "Eukaryotic small subunit ribosomal RNA", at positions 153 to 610 of the family's 1831-position model. The record is from RNAcentral. Lineage: Eukaryota; Dinophyceae; Oxyrrhinales; Oxyrrhinaceae.
UAAUUCUGAGGCUAAUGCGUGCAGGCAACAAGACAGUUCCAAAACAUGCACAUAAUAAGUUGAAAUAUCACCAAUUUAUUGGGUUGAUGUGCAACACAAUUAUGUAAGCUGUUGCUUGUCACAAAAGCGAUUAUAUUCUUACCUAUCAGCUUGCGAUGAUACGCUAGUGACGUAUUAUGGCUGUUACGGGUGGCGAAGAAUUAGGGUUUGAUCUCGGAGAGGACGCUUGAGAAAUAGCGGCUACAUCUAAGGAAGGCAGCAGGCGCGCAAAUUACCCAAUCUUGACACAAGGAGGUAGUGACAAGAAAUAACUGUGUGUGGCUCUAUGCUGCACAUCCGGAAUGUGCGACAGGUUAAGCGUGUUGCGAGUAGCUAUUGGAGGGCAAGUCUGGUGCCAGCAGCCGCGGUAAUUCCAGCUCCAAGAGUGUAUAUUAAAGU